UGGUCUCGUACGGUCACACUGCAGGGGCAUACGUUUGUUUCCAUAUGAAAUGAACUGACUGUUUUUAUUCGGAGUGCGAAAAAUGGACAAAGCUUCUUUUGGACCGAUAUUCUUUAUAUAACGGCUUUGCGACUAGACAACCGAAAGGAGUUCGACUUACUUAUCUGGCGCCACCUAAGCGUGGUCGUCCUGCUCCAAACACCUUCCCUCAACCCCGUGCUCCGCUCCUGGGUGCGCGAAUCAAUUACAGCAACGUCGUAACGCGAAAAUCGAUUUCGGCUGCGGGCGCAGGCUGAACCAUCAGAAAGUAUGUUCCACUGCGAUGUGGACACAGGGAUAGAUAUGACAUCGCCCAGCCGGAUGAAGAACGCAGCCGAUCGCCGGCAGCACCAAUCCUGGCCGCAGAGAUGCCGGCGGAGCAACAUGCUUAUCCUGGUCGGAGUCGCCUUGUGCACCCUCGUUUCAGUAUGCGACGCCACGGACACGGACAUCGCGCUAGACGCCAAGGCCACGCUGAAUCACCGCAUCCAAAGCCUGGACCUGCUCGUUUUCGUGUUCCUGCUGGCCCUUACGGUCCUUACCAUCUGGCUAUUCAAGCACCAUCGCGUCUCCUGGCUCCACGAGACCGGACUGGCAGUCAUCUACGGUUUAAUUGUAGGAGCAAUUAUACGGUAUGCGGGCACCUCCGCCACCCUUGUCCAUAUGCAGGUGGAGCCGCAAGGAGUUCCGACGUACAGCGACAAGGUGCCGCCCGAUACACUCUGGUUUAACUACCCCGUUAACCAAACGAAUGGAACCAAAGUGCCAGAGGGCAUUAAGACGUAUGCCUAUGUUUUUCGGGGUCAGGUCCACGAUGUCGAUGAAAACGAAAUCGAUCUUAAGGCAACUUUCGAUCCGGAGGUGUUUUUUAACAUUAUCCUACCGCCAAUCAUAUUUUACGCAGGUUACAGCUUGAAAAAGAAAUAUUUUUUCCGAAACCUUGGUGCCAUUCUCACCUUUGCCAUUGUUGGCACCACUUUAUCGGCCUUUCUGGUCGGAGGCUUCAUGUACGGCUGUGUGAAACUGAUGCCAAAGUACUUGAGCAGCAGUUUCUCAUUUCUGGACACUCUUUACUUUGGAGCCCUGAUAUCACCCACAGAUCCGCUCACGAUUCUAGCCAUAUUCAAUGAUCUGCGGGUCGAUGUUAACCUAUAUGCGCUAGUCUUGGGCGAAUCUGUGCUUAACGAUGCCGUGGCCAUUGUCCUUAGCGGAGCCAUUCAAAACUAUGGUGAACAUUAUUCCAACACAGGGGAAUUCGAAACUACAGCUUUUCUGCGCUCUCUAAGUGACUUCUUUUCCAUCUUUAUACUGUCCCUGAUGAUUGGAGCUGCAAUGGGCUGCUUGACAGCUUUGAUGACCAAGUUUACGAGGGUGCGCGACUUUCCCCUACUAGAGUCGGCGCUCUUCGUGUUAAUGAGCUACAGCACGUUCUUGCUGGCAGAGGCUACACAGCUCACUGGAGUGGUGGCCGUGCUCUUUUGCGGCAUCUGCCAGGCUCACUACACAUAUAACAACCUCUCGGAGGAUUCUCGGCAAAGGACAAAACAGAUCUUCGAGCUGCUCAACUUUCUGGCUGAGAACUUUAUUUUCUCCUAUAUUGGAGUGUCGAUGUUUACCUUUCCCAAGCAUCAUUUUGACGCAGGAUUUAUCAUAACAGCUUUCAUCUGCGCCGCUAUAGGACGUGCGGUAAACGUGUAUCCCUUGUCCUGGUUGUUAAACAUAAAGCGAAAACCAAAAAUCUCGGCAAACUUUCAACACAUGCUGUUUUUUGCAGGGUUACGUGGAGCCAUGUCCUUUGCGUUGGCUAUUCGAAAUACAGUGUCGGAUGCGCGACAGACUAUGCUGACCGCCACUUCGCUGAUUGUCAUCUUUACGGUUGUAAUCCAGGGUGGGGCAGCUAAUUUUCUGCUCAAUUGGUUAAAAAUACCUGUUGGCGUUGACGAUGAGACUGAACAAUUAAAUAAUUACCAAGUGCAUAGUGUUUACAAUUCAAUGGAUAAUUCACACCCGCAGACGUCUGAUGGUUACUUGCAGGAUGUGGAGAGCGGGGCAGGAGGUCACGGCAAAAUGCGGUUGUCCGGUGGAACGGAGUCCAACAUGGACACACCUGCGGAUGGGCCAAAUGGCAGCUUGGGCGGCCCAAGCGGUGGACGUCGUCGUAACAGUCAUGAGAAGGCCAUUCUGGCUAGAAUUUGGGGAAACUUUGAUACCAAGUACAUGAAGCCUAUGCUGACGCACUCGCGACCGACUUUGUUGGAGACGUUGCCCGUUUGCUGUAAUCCCAUUGCCAGGCUGCUCACCACCACGCAGCAGCUAACCCAGGAUGGGAGCGAGUUCAGGCGCGUGGACUCAGACUCGGAUAUUUGCAUAGACAAUGAUACUGGGAAUGGUCUCAGUCAAGACGUCGGACCUGGAACAGGACCAGGCGUGGGGCGGCGGAACUCACUAAGUCGUACGGAAACCCAGACAUAAUAAACUAAAUCCAGAGUCAGUCAGUCCAGUCAGUGAAUUGAUUAACCGACUAACAAAAGCUUAUUAUAGCACAGCAGCUAAAAAUGUUCGUUUGUACUGUACACUUUUAAUUUCUGUAUUUUUCCUCAUAAUCUAAUUUAAUAGAUUCUAACACGCGACUAACCAUGUAUGAGGCGAACAUCGAAAUUUUUACAAUAAGUUUAAUUAAUUUUUAUGUUAUUUAUUAAUUGGUCUCAUUUAAAAUGAAGUAUGCGAAAACUGUACAAAUUAGAUUGUUACUCCUCAGUUUCUCCUUGUUUACGGUAUGUGAUUUGGAACUCUAGUUUUAAAUCUAAUUUAAAUAUUAGGCUUAUCAAUUAAUUUAAAAAUUGUUUCGCAACGAACUAAAAUUCUUAAGGGCACUCAAACUAAAAAGGCUACCGAUCAUCGAGCUGACACACACCAAUACAAUACCUUAAAACACAUGCAUAUAUAUCCUGUUUAAAUCUAUUAUUUUCAAUACUUAGCAAUUUAUAUAUUUUGCCAAAAUAUAGAUAUAAUAAGCCUAAUUAAAUGGACUUGUGAAAAUUAAUAUGAAUACUUAUAUAGACAUAUUUCCUUUUUCUUUAUUUGAUAUCGCGAAAUAUGCAAACAUUUUAAUAAUAUUCGCCUGAACCCACAAAAAAUAAUUGUAUCCAGAUGGAGAUUUUGGAGCAUGUUCAAAGUCCGGUGUCGACGAGAAUCAGACUCUUAGGAUUUUAUGGAAAAAAGUUAUAAAAAGCAAGGCAGAAGAAUUAGAAUAUAAUUUUUGUUGUAUUUUACAUAACAUUAACAUGUAGCUUUUUCGUUCUUACAAAGUUACUGUAAAUAUAUCGUUUUAAAAAGUUAGAACGUUUAUUCGGUUUAACUUAUAAGUUAAAAUACCGAUCAAUUUGCUGAUCUAUUAAUUUGUUCCGAUAUUACCUAAGACACAAUUUCUUACUACAUACAUACGCUGUAUUUGUAUCAAAGCGAAGCUCUCUGAAGAAAUUAAUUGUUGUGCUGUUAAUUUUUAAGUCUAAAAAAAUAAAUUUGAAAAAAAAAAUCGUUUUA
Drosophila rhopaloa is the source of this 3582-nucleotide RNA transcript. It is a transcript of the gene named sodium/hydrogen exchanger 6, with no coding region annotated. NCBI's taxonomy places the organism in Eukaryota, Metazoa, Arthropoda, Insecta, Diptera, Drosophilidae. The transcript is spliced from 15 exons. The record is from RefSeq and is a predicted model, not a curated record.